Molecule: unclassified non-coding RNA, 142 nt
Filed under: uncultured fungus
Lineage: Eukaryota; Fungi
Description: sequence contains ITS1
Source: RNAcentral
UUGUUUUUGAUAUAGAUUCAGACUCAGAAACUUAUCUUAGCAUAAAAGCGACGCCGAAGCGCCGAAGCACAUCUUGCUUCCACAUGUUUACAAGGUUGAAGGCCAUUCAGUAAUGAUCCCUCCGCAGGUUCACCUACGGAGA